This 534-nucleotide ribosomal RNA is filed under the name Triticum aestivum (bread wheat). RNAcentral's name for it is "partial small subunit ribosomal RNA". Lineage: Eukaryota; Viridiplantae; Streptophyta; Magnoliopsida; Poales; Poaceae. The record is from RNAcentral.
AUGAGGCAAGGCGCACACUCAGCUCACCGCAAGUACACCUACGCCGCCGCCUCCCCGGGGGGCUGCAAGGUGAAGUGGACGGCCGAGGAGAAGCCGCACGGUGGGGCUGGGCUCUCAAGUGGGAGGCGGAGCUCGCCUCCCCCCAACAACGUUAGCUUUGAUCACAAGUGGAAGUGGGAGCCCAAGUCCAAGCCCGGUGCCGCCAGCAAGGCCAAGACCAAGCUCGAGGAAGCCAACGAGGAUGACAAGAAUAUGCCGGCGAUGAAGUGCACGCACAUCGAGGAGGUCCUCGCCGGCUGCAACGCCAUCCGCAAGGAUGAUGACUAUCUAAUGGUGAUUCCCUAUUCCCACAUUUUUUGCCCUCAUGUUGCAAGCUCUAAAGCUGCCCCUGCAAUUUACCAUCACAAGACAUGUCUGGGCAGCAAGUCUCCUGUGACGGUUACUUCUAAUUCGUUGUUACAAUUGUUUGAUGGUUUGCUUGUUCCAACCUCGAUAUCAUGGUUUGCUUGUUCCAACCUCGAUAUCUGCCUUUAG